This 259-nucleotide ribosomal RNA is filed under the name uncultured bacterium. Its description in RNAcentral is "partial 16S ribosomal RNA". It matches the Rfam family "Bacterial small subunit ribosomal RNA", at positions 99 to 353 of the family's 1533-position model. The record is from RNAcentral.
CGAACGGGUGAGUAACGCGUGAGGAACCUGCCUCAAAGAGGGGGACGAACAGUUGGAAACGACUGCUAAUACCGCAUAAGCCCACGGUGCCGCAUGGCACAGAGGGAAAAGGAGCAAUCCGCUUUGAGAUGGCCUCGCGUCCGAUUAGCUAGUUGGUGAGGUAACGGCCCACCAAGGCAACGAUCGGUAGCCGGGCUGAGAGGUUGAACGGCCACAUUGGGACUGAGACACGGCCCAGACUCCUACGGGAGGCAGCAUG